Molecule: long non-coding RNA, 418 nt
Filed under: Mus musculus (house mouse)
Lineage: Eukaryota; Metazoa; Chordata; Mammalia; Rodentia; Muridae
Description: predicted gene, 49420
Source: RNAcentral
UGCCGCCACACCUGCUCCCCACAACCUUUCAUAGUUACUUUUGGCCUGUGAAGAGAGAGCAGCGAGGAAGCCCAGUGAACAUAUCAACAGGGCCUAAUGUCGCUGGCAAUUAGGAAACUACAAAUUGAGGAAACCUGCAAAUUCUUUUCAGUUCCUACAUCUGAGUUCCUGCCUUAACAUCUCUUGGUGACAAACAGAUCUAUAACCUGCAAGCAGAGUGAGCCCUUUCUCCACCCAGGCUCUUUUUGAUCAUAGUGUUUAUCACAACAAUGAAAUCCAGGCUAGGACAACAUCAGUGAUCGCAGGAGGAGGAAAAAAAAGCCUAAGAGUCAGAGAAGAUGGAGGACACCCAGGAAAUAAGGCCUUCUCAACACAGAAGGAAUGGCACGCAGACGCUCGCGGGGCCUGGGGCAGCACG